GAGGAAUUUUGGACAAUGGGGGCAACCCUGAUCCAGCGACGCCGCGUGAAGGAUGAAGGUCUUCGGAUUGUAAACUUCUUUUGUUCGAGACUAAGAAACCUGUAGAAAUAUGGGGAGUGAAUGUAUCGGAUGAAUAAGCCACGGCUAACUUCGUGCCAGCAGCCGCGGUAAUACGAAGGUGGCAAGCGUUACUCGGAAUUACUAGGCGUAAAGGGCAGGUAGGUGGUUUGGUAAGUCUGUUGUGGAAGCUCCCGGCUUAACUGGGAGAGGUCAACAGAUACUGCCAAGCUUGAGUGUAGGAGAGGGUACUGGAAUUCCCGGUGUAGCGGUGAAAUGCGCAGAGAUCGGGAGGAACACCAAUGGCGAAAGCAGGUACCUGGACUAUUACUGACACUAAGCUGCGAAAGCUAGGGGAGCAAAC
Molecule: ribosomal RNA, 421 nt
Filed under: uncultured bacterium
Lineage: Bacteria
Description: bacterial SSU rRNA
Rfam family: Bacterial small subunit ribosomal RNA
Source: RNAcentral